Arthrobacter sp. Leaf69 is the source of this 121-nucleotide regulatory RNA element. It matches the Rfam family "mraW RNA". The record is from Rfam. NCBI's taxonomy places the organism in Bacteria, Bacillati, Actinomycetota, Actinomycetes, Micrococcales, Micrococcaceae.
GCACGAUUCUUGACCGAGAUCUCCAGCCGCCCAUCCCGCGGAUCUUCCUGGCUCACUUCCCCGGAGCCAGGCGGACGCAGGAUAGGCGCGGAUGGGGAUCUGGAUCAAGAAGCGGCGGACA